This 463-nucleotide ribosomal RNA is filed under the name Pseudomonas sp. TA8. RNAcentral's name for it is "bacterial SSU rRNA". It matches the Rfam family "Bacterial small subunit ribosomal RNA", at positions 30 to 486 of the family's 1533-position model. Lineage: Bacteria; Pseudomonadati; Pseudomonadota; Gammaproteobacteria; Pseudomonadales; Pseudomonadaceae. The record is from RNAcentral.
AUUGAACGCUGGCGGCAGGCCUAACACAUGCAAGUCGAGCGGUAGAGAGAAGCUUGCUUCUCUUGAGAGCGGCGGACGGGUGAGUAAUGCCUAGGAAUCUGCCUGGUAGUGGGGGAUAACGUCCGGAAACGGACGCUAAUACCGCAUACGUCCUACGGGAGAAAGCAGGGGACCUUCGGGCCUUGCGCUAUCAGAUGAGCCUAGGUCGGAUUAGCUAGUUGGUGAGGUAAUGGCUCACCAAGGCGACGAUCCGUAACUGGUCUGAGAGGAUGAUCAGUCACACUGGAACUGAGACACGGUCCAGACUCCUACGGGAGGCAGCAGUGGGGAAUAUUGGACAAUGGGCGAAAGCCUGAUCCAGCCAUGCCGCGUGUGUGAAGAAGGUCUUCGGAUUGUAAAGCACUUUAAGUUGGGAGGAAGGGUUGUAGAUUAAUACUCUGCAAUUUUGACGUUACCGACAGAA